Molecule: non-coding RNA, 21 nt
Filed under: Arabidopsis thaliana (thale cress)
Lineage: Eukaryota; Viridiplantae; Streptophyta; Magnoliopsida; Brassicales; Brassicaceae
Source: RNAcentral
GAUCACUGCCGGAAAUGACCA